Molecule: small nuclear RNA, 104 nt
Organism: Suncus etruscus (white-toothed pygmy shrew)
Lineage: Eukaryota; Metazoa; Chordata; Mammalia; Eulipotyphla; Soricidae
Source: RefSeq, a predicted model, not a curated record
CUGCUUGCAAGGCAGCACAUAUACUAAAAUUGGAACAAUACAGAGAAAAUUAGCAUGGCCCCUGCGCAACACAGCGUUUAAACAAACAAACAAACAAAAAAAGU